This 85-nucleotide transfer RNA is filed under the name Felis catus (domestic cat). It matches the Rfam family "tRNA". Rfam says of the family: Transfer RNA (tRNA) molecules are approximately 80 nucleotides in length. Their secondary structure includes four short double-helical elements and three loops (D, anti-codon, and T loops). RNAcentral also lists the same sequence under 1 other name. Lineage: Eukaryota; Metazoa; Chordata; Mammalia; Carnivora; Felidae. The record is from Rfam by way of RNAcentral.
GCCUGGGUGGCUCAGUCGGUUGAGCGUCUGACUUCGGCUCAGGUCACGAUCUCGCGGUCCGUGAGUUCGAGCCCCGUGUCGGGCU